CGUUUAGGGGUAAACCUGAGAAACCCGAAAGGUCGAAGGGAGGAAUUCAUUCGUUUUUCGACAAUUGAGGCGUUCGUUAUGUUGACAGUAUUUGUUUGUUUCGGCAAAUUUUAUUGCAACUUUCGUUCGUCUAACUUUUGACGAAUUCGUGCACUUUCCUCCUGGUAGGACGUCGCGAUCCGUUGGGUGUCGAUCUAAGGUUUGUGGAGGAGCCCGUUUAUUUUUUCGUAAAGUAAGCGGACCCACAUUUCCCGGUCGACUCGCUCGACGGUAUAUGAAUGGUUCGAGGCCGCUCAAUAUACGGAGCGUCUGACCCGUUACAAGCGCGCUAUUUGUAUCGAAGUUCGGACCUAGUGCCGGACCCGAUCUAUAGUGACUGUUGGUGACGGUGUUCUUGGACAGACCUAUGUAACCAAUCUGCGACGCUAUAGCUUUGGGUAAUUUCAGGACCCGUCUUGAAACACGGACCAAGGAGUCUAGCAUGUACGCGAGUCAUUGGGUAUUUAAUAAACCUAAAGGCGUAAUGAAAGUAAAAGUUUUCCUUGCGAAAACCUAGGGAAGAUAAGUGGUUAAUUUUUUUAAGUUGCCAUUUCGCAUUCCCGGGGCGUCUCAUUCUCAUUGCGAGAAAAGGCGCACCAAGAGCGUACACGCUGGGACCCGAAAGAUGGUGAACUAU
RNAcentral lists this ribosomal RNA (676 nucleotides) under Macrocryphalus oblongus. RNAcentral describes it as "partial large subunit ribosomal RNA". It matches the Rfam family "Eukaryotic large subunit ribosomal RNA", at positions 406 to 834 of the family's 3401-position model. Lineage: Eukaryota; Metazoa; Arthropoda; Insecta; Coleoptera; Curculionidae. The record is from RNAcentral.